UACGUAGGUCCCGAGCGUUGUCCGGAUUUAUUGGGCGUAAAGCGAGCGUAGGUGGUUUAUUAAGUCUGGUGUAAAAGGCAGUGGCUCAACCAUUGUAUGCAUUGGAAACUGGUAGACUUGAGUGCAGAAGAGGAGAGUGGAACUCCAUGUGUAGCGGUGAAAUGCGUAGAUAUAUGGAAGAACACCAGUGGCGAAAGCGGCUCUCUGGUCUGUAACUGACGCUGAGGUUCGAAAGCGUGGGUAGCAAACAGG
This 252-nucleotide ribosomal RNA is filed under the name uncultured bacterium. RNAcentral describes it as "partial 16S ribosomal RNA". It matches the Rfam family "Bacterial small subunit ribosomal RNA", at positions 524 to 776 of the family's 1533-position model. The record is from RNAcentral.